GAUGAACGCUGGCGGCGUGCCUAAUACAUGCAGGUCGAGCGAACAGACGAGGAGCUUGCUCCUCUGACGUUAGCGGCGGACGGGUGAGUAACACGUGGAUAACCUACCUAUAAGACUGGGAUAACUUCGGGAAACCGGAGCUAAUACCGGAUAAUAUAUUGAACCGCAUGGUUCAAUAGUGAAAGACGGUUUUGCUGUCACUUAUAGAUGGAUCCGCGCCGCAUUAGCUAGUUGGUAAGGUAACGGCUUACCAAGGCAACGAUGCGUAGCCGACCUGAGAGGGUGAUCGGCCACACUGGAACUGAGACACCGUCCAGACUCCUACGGGAGGCAGCAGUAGGGAAUCUUCCGCAAUGGGCGAAAGCCUGACGGAGCAACGCCGCGUGAGUGAUGAAGGUCUUCGGAUCGUAAAACUCUGUUAUUAGGGAAGAACAAAUGUGUAAGUAACUAUGCACGUCUUGACGGUACCUAAUCAGAAAGCCACGGCUAACUACGUG
Molecule: ribosomal RNA, 497 nt
Filed under: uncultured bacterium
Lineage: Bacteria
Description: partial 16S ribosomal RNA
Rfam family: Bacterial small subunit ribosomal RNA
Source: RNAcentral